This 498-nucleotide ribosomal RNA is filed under the name uncultured bacterium. RNAcentral describes it as "partial 16S ribosomal RNA". It matches the Rfam family "Bacterial small subunit ribosomal RNA", at positions 28 to 507 of the family's 1533-position model. The record is from RNAcentral.
GACGAACGCUGGCGGCGUGCCUAAUACAUGCAAGUCGAGCGGACGAAUCGAAAGCUUGCUUUUGAUUCGUUAGCGGCGGACGGGUGAGUAACACGUGGGCAACCUGCCCUGUAGACGGGGAUAACACCGAGAAAUCGGUGCUAAUACCGGAUAACACGAAAUGUCGCAUGACGUUUCGUUGAAAGACGGCGCAAGCUGCCGCUACAGGAUGGGCCCGCGGCGCAUUAGCUAGUUGGUGAGGUAACGGCUCACCAAGGCGACGAUACGUAGCCGACCUGAGAGGGUGAUCGGCCACACUGGGACUGAGACACGGCCCAGACUCCUACGGGAGGCAGCAGUAGGGAAUCUUCCGCAAUGGACGAAAGUCUGACGGAGCAACGCCGCGUGAGCGAAGAAGGCCUUCGGGUCGUAAAGCUCUGUUGUUAGGGAAGAACAAGUAACGCAGUAACUGGCGUUACCGUGGCGGUACCUAACGAGAAAGCCACGGCUAACUACGUG